This is a long non-coding RNA of Vigna angularis (adzuki bean), 607 nucleotides long. RefSeq lists it as uncharacterized. NCBI's taxonomy places the organism in Eukaryota, Viridiplantae, Streptophyta, Magnoliopsida, Fabales, Fabaceae. The record is from RefSeq and is a predicted model, not a curated record. The transcript is spliced from 3 exons.
ACGCUUUCUUUUGUCUUCCUUUUCUUUCUUUGCUGCCGCCGAAAGCUCCAGAUGUCUUUCCUUUCUUUCUUUUCAGCAGAAGCUUUUCAAUGGGUAAGAGGAGAUCCAGCAAAUGCAUGCAUCCAAAAUCAACGGGUGUUGCUCCUAAUCAAAUAAACGAUUUCAUCUUUUACAGCAAAAACAUUACAAUACAUCAGGUUUCUUAAUGUUGAGAGCGUAGCAGAUGUGCGUGAAACAUUACUUCUACAACAAAAAAUCUAUAAAAGUCAAGAUGUGGAGAAAUAUGACUUCAACAAAAUUUAUCAAAUUUAUCGACAAUAAUACUCUGUUGAGUGAAGAAACAUAAUAGUUGUCGACCAUACUUUCCAAAUAAGCAUGUGAUGUUAGAAGAUUUUUCUCACUGUGAAGUAUGUUGUUGUAUCAUCAUCAAGGAAAAAUGGAUCUCCCACUACAUAAAUUCCUGGAUAUCACCUUCAAUUCUGAAAGUCAAGAACUACUUCAAUCUAUUGUAAAUAUUGAGUGAUAUAUAUUAUGACUUUUAUGUAUUUUUUUCUUAAAUUUGUUUUCUCUUCAAUUUCUCUCUUUAUAUAUAAUUAUUUCUUUCAAA